UGCUAUGACAUCCACCCUAGCCCAGGGCCUGGGCCCUUACAGACGUCCUUGGAUCCAGCCUCCGGCACCUGGGACCCCACUCUCAGAGGCCUCUGCCCUGGCCCACUUCCCUGGCUCCGUUCUCCCUUCACGUGCAAAAGCCCGAGUAGGUUUAAGAAAACAAAAACAAUAAAAUCUCCCACGGGGCUCCCAAGUUCAUAGGUGGAGAAGUCAGGCGUGUGUAACUUAGAACAGGUCCUUUAAUUUUUCUGGACUUCAGUGUCUUCCCAAACAGACAAAAUAAGCAUAAAGACAGCUCGAAAGCGCCUUUCCAGCGUUAGGAAAAAAAUAUAAGGCCACUCAACUGUAGGUCCAAAUCCUGCCUCUACCUCCUACCCUAUAGGUGGGGGGUCUUGAGCAAGUUACUAAGUGCUUGGUAACUCAGUUAGGGUGUGCUCAUGUGACUUAUCUCAAAGCUCCCAGAGGUAAAUUGCAUGACAGAAUGCAUGCGAGCCACCCAGCCCAGGCCCCAUAGGUGGGAGAUAUUCCUACCUUGCUAUAUGUCCUUGAACUAAGAUUGUAAGAUGCACCAUUAUUUCACGUUCCACUAAGAAAGAAAUAGUGCCGGGGCACCUGGGUGGCUCAGCCUUGCUUUUGGCUCAGGUCAUGGUCUCACAGUUUUGGGGGUUCAAGCCCCACGUUGGGCUCCGCAGCUGGCAGUGAGGAGCCUGCUUGGGAUUCCCUCUCUGUCUCCCUCUCUCUCUGUCCCUCCCGGGCUUGUGCUGUCUCUGUCUCUCUCAAAAUAAAUAAACUUAAAAAAAAAGAAGAAGAAGAAGAAGAAAGAAAGAAAUAGCGCCAUCAAUGGAUUGGGAGACACAUCUCAGAUAUCAGAGAUGAGUGCACCUUAGAGAAAUUUUUUUUUAAUGUUUAUUUAUUUUUUAAGAGAGAGAGAGAGCACAAGCAGGGAAGGGGCAGAGAUAGAGAGAAAGGGAGACACAGAAUCCGAAGGGGGCUCCAGGCUCCCAGCUGUCAGCACAGAGCCUGGUGUGGGGCUGAAACUCACGAACCGUGAGAUCGUGACCUGAGCUGAAGACAGACGCCUAACCGACUGAGCCAUCCAGGCGCCCCAAGAUGGGUGCACCUUAGAAUUGAAAUACUGCAUUAAUCCGGAGGACAGACAGGGAAAGGGCAACAAAAGAGUCAAUCUCUAACAGCAAUAGCUCUCCACUCGGGAUGCAACUUAGAAUCGGGCAGAGUAUAUCUGUUUAACCAAAACCUCCGGGGUGCGACCCAGUAAUCUUUCGGUGCCUUGUUUUCCCCAUCUGCAAAACUGGGAUAAUUAUAGAAUCUACUUCUGAUGUUGUACUGAGUUAAUUCACACAAGUGAUUUAGAGCAGCGCCAGGCCCCCCAGAAAUGCUAACCUAAGUAGUGUAAGUAAAUGUUAACGAUUUCUCAACUCUGCGCCCCAGGUCCUGGCACCCACGAGGUACCUCCUAAGUGUUGGUAGAAUGCAGUAGAUAUUGCCGCGUGACUGCUGCCCUGCCCCCCCCCCCCCCCCCGCCACCCCUUAGCUGGGAGAGGCCCUCUCUGGCCUCUGUCGGGGGUGGGGGCCCAAGAAGAGGCUCACCUGCCCAAAGGCCUUCCGUCCAAAGUUCAAGAGAGCCACACCCUUUCCAGGCACAGCGCCGCCCCAGCCCCCGGAGGCUGCUUUGCGGUGGGCGCCAAGAAACUGGACCUGCCACGGCCCUGCAGAGUCAAUGACAAGAACCAAACUUCUCCCCUAGCCUCCACCCCUCCCCUUUCCUGCUUUUCUUAUUUUCUUUUCCAUAAAGAUUAGUCUGUUGCUCCUCUAUCAAGGCCUCGAGGAUAAACAUGUGGUCCAGAGGCAGAGAAACCCCAGGCUUGAAAGCCCCUCUGCCCCCACCCCGGCCGCAUAAACCCAGGGCUUUUAAGCAAG
This 1937-nucleotide long non-coding RNA is filed under the name Lynx pardinus (Iberian lynx). The record is from RNAcentral. Lineage: Eukaryota; Metazoa; Chordata; Mammalia; Carnivora; Felidae.